Long non-coding RNA from Heterocephalus glaber (naked mole-rat), 1090 nucleotides. Lineage: Eukaryota; Metazoa; Chordata; Mammalia; Rodentia; Bathyergidae. The record is from Ensembl.
CGGGAGACAGCAGACGUGUUUGGUGUCCCUUCCCGUUUGGGCCCAAGUAGGAACCAGGUGAAGACCAGAGCGCGGCUUCCUCCCCUGCGCUCCCAGCGCCUGGUACUGCGAGCCGAGCCGUGCGGCCCGCGCAGUGGGGCCGGCAAGUCGGGUGGUCCUGGGCAGCGCCACGCAGGCAUGUGGAAUCCGCGCUGGGUCCUGCAGGCUGGGCAGAAUUCGGGGGCUGAUGCUGCCGAAGCCGUAGGAGGGGACAGAGAAAAGGACGGGGAGGACUGAAGGCCAGACCUGCAGGGACGUCUUCCCACGGGCUUCGCGGUGGCCCUGCUUCCAGACGCGGCGGGCUGCUGCCAGGCCACAUCGCAGCCGCAGGGUCGGGGAGGAAAUGGCUCACAGAGAAGGCGCACGGUGGGCCCUGGUCGGGGGACCUUGGGGCCAGGACUGCACCAGGGGGAAGCCGCAGUUGACACGGAAGAAGGGGCGCCGCACGGGAAGACAGCUGGGACGUUCCGGAGCCCUGAAGGCGCUCACUCCAUAGCCACCCGGACAGGCCCUUCCCGCUCUGCCCUCCGCCCGCCCUGGGACCCCGGCGGGAGGCAGCUGGCGCACGUCCCAGUGCUCCAGCUUGCUCCUUGAGACGAGAAGAAGCCACGUAGCUCCCACACCUCAGCAACCCCGCCUUCGGGUCUCGGGCGCUCCGCGGUGUUUGAUGGGAGCACAGUGCCUGGAAGCCACGGAGGAGGAAGGGCCGUUCUCCUUAGCUCAUCGCUGCCCUGAAGAAUGAAGGUUGGUCCUGUGCAUCGGCUGAUGGAGGUUCGCGAAUGUAGGACACCCGUGGGAGAGGACGCUCCCCACCUCCGCCCCAGCUCUCAGUCCACCCAGAGCAAACCCGAGCCGGCAGACUUCGCCUCAUUCUUCACAGAAGCUGCGCCCUGCGGGUGGUGUGCUUUCAUAUCUGGCUGCCUUUGCUCAUACUGUGACCUGUACUCGCCUUAUUGACGGUGUGCUGUCCUAGAACAUCUAAGCACAAGAAACUCCUGAACCAUGAAUUAACAUUCAGCUCUCCAACUGCCAGUUGACCAGGGAGAGCUGC